Molecule: transfer RNA, 71 nt
Filed under: Phrynosoma platyrhinos (Desert horned lizard)
Lineage: Eukaryota; Metazoa; Chordata; Lepidosauria; Squamata; Phrynosomatidae
Description: tRNA-OTHER
Source: RNAcentral
GCCAGCAUGGCACUGUGGUUUGAGUGUUGAACUACAACUCUGGAGACCUGGGUUCAAUUCCCAGAUUGGCC